AACUUUCAACAACGGAUCUCUUGGUUCCGGCAUCGAUGAAGAACGCAGCGAAAUGCGAUACGUAAUGUGAAUUGCAGAAUUCAGUGAAUCAUCGAGUCUUUGAACGCACAUUGCGCCCCUUGGUAUUCCGGGGGGCAUGCCUGUCCGAGCGUCAUUG
RNAcentral lists this ribosomal RNA (157 nucleotides) under Penicillium corylophilum. RNAcentral's name for it is "5.8S ribosomal RNA". It matches the Rfam family "5.8S ribosomal RNA". From Rfam's summary of the family: 5.8S ribosomal RNA (5.8S rRNA) is a component of the large subunit of the eukaryotic ribosome. It is transcribed by RNA polymerase I as part of the 45S precursor that also contains 18S and 28S rRNA. The record is from RNAcentral. Lineage: Eukaryota; Fungi; Ascomycota; Eurotiomycetes; Eurotiales; Aspergillaceae.